UUUGGCAAGAGCAUUGGCUGCUCCGGAUACAGACCAUCCAAAUGGAACACCAGGCCAUAAGAAUUAUGGGUUGAGUGUUCUUCAGCAACAUGUGGCCUUUUUUGACAUGGACGACAAUGGAAUCAUUUACCCUUGGAAGACAUAUACUGGGCUGCGUGCAAUUGGUUUCAACAUGAUUGCAUCUCUUACAAUGGCUAUUGGUAUUAAUGGAGCUUUGAGUUACCCUACUCUUCUCGUUAUAUAUUAAAUAGAAAAAACAAUCUGCUCUAUCCUGUUCACCGGUAGCUAAUAUGGAGAAGGAUUUUGAUUCAAAGCUAAGGAUUGAGGGCAAUUCUUCCAAUGGAGGGAACAUACCCAGAUCUAAGAGCUUUGAAUUGGGUAGUAUCUAUGGCAUUGGUUCUUAUUCCAGGAUCUCAUUUUUCUUCAUUAUAUUUAAUUUUUUUACUGUAUUUAUUAUUAUUAUUAUUAUUAUUAUUAUUAUUAUUAUUAUUAUUAUUAUU
Long non-coding RNA from Camellia sinensis, 500 nucleotides. RefSeq lists it as uncharacterized. The record is from RefSeq and is a predicted model, not a curated record. Lineage: Eukaryota; Viridiplantae; Streptophyta; Magnoliopsida; Ericales; Theaceae.